UAGGGAAUCUUCCGCAAUGGGCGAAAGCCUGACGGAGCAACGCCGCGUGAGAGAUGAAGGUCUUCGGAUCGUAAAACUCUGUUAUUAGGGAAGAACAAAUGUGUAAGUAACUAUGCACGUCUUGACGGUACCUAAUCAGAAAGCCACGGCUAACUACGUGCCAGCAGCCGCGGUAAUACGUAGGUGGCAAGCGUUAUCCGGAAUUAUUGGGCGUAAAGCGCGCGUAGGCGGUUUUUUAAGUCUGAUGUGAAAGCCCACGGCUCAACCGUGGAGGGUCAUUGGAAACUGGAAAACUUGAGUGCAGAAGAGGAAAGUGGAAUUCCAUGUGUAGCGGUGAAAUGCGCAGAGAUAUGGAGGAACACCAGUGGCGAAGGCGACUUUCUGGUCUGUAACUGACGCUGAUGUGCGAAAGCGUGGGGAUCAAACA
RNAcentral lists this ribosomal RNA (427 nucleotides) under uncultured bacterium. Its description in RNAcentral is "partial 16S ribosomal RNA". It matches the Rfam family "Bacterial small subunit ribosomal RNA", at positions 355 to 774 of the family's 1533-position model. The record is from RNAcentral.